GACGAACGCUGGCGGCGUGCUUAACACAUGCAAGUCGAACGGAAAGGCCCUGCUUUUGUGGGGUGCUCGAGUGGCGAACGGGUGAGUAACGCGUGAGUAACCUGCCCUUGACUUUGGGAUAACUUCAGGAAACUGGGGCUAAUACCGGAUAGGAGCUCCUGCUGCAUGGUGGGGGUUGGAAAGUUUCGGCGGUUGGGGAUGGACUCGCGGCUUAUCAGCUUGUUGGUGGGGUAGUGGCUUACCAAGGCUUUGACGGGUAGCCGGCCUGAGAGGGUGACCGGCCACAUUGGGACUGAGAUACGGCCCAGACUCCUACGGGAGGCAGCAGUGGGGAAUAGUGCACAAUGGGCGGAAGCCUGAUGCAGCAACGCCGCGUGCGGGAUGACGGCCUUCGGGUUGUAAACCGCUUUCGCCUGUGACGAAGCGUGAGUGACGGUAAUGGGUAAAGAAGCACCGGCUAACUACGUG
This 468-nucleotide ribosomal RNA is filed under the name uncultured bacterium. Its description in RNAcentral is "partial 16S ribosomal RNA". It matches the Rfam family "Bacterial small subunit ribosomal RNA", at positions 28 to 507 of the family's 1533-position model. The record is from RNAcentral.